GGGGCGGUAGCUCAGCUGGUUAGAGCAGAGGACUCAUAAUCCUUGGGUCGCGGGUUCGAGUCCCGCCCGCCCCACCA
This 77-nucleotide transfer RNA is filed under the name Propionibacteriales bacterium. RNAcentral's name for it is "tRNA-Ile". It matches the Rfam family "tRNA". Rfam says of the family: Transfer RNA (tRNA) molecules are approximately 80 nucleotides in length. RNAcentral also lists the same sequence under 2 other names. The record is from RNAcentral. Lineage: Bacteria; Bacillati; Actinomycetota; Actinomycetes; Propionibacteriales.